Molecule: ribosomal RNA, 301 nt
Filed under: uncultured bacterium
Lineage: Bacteria
Description: partial 16S ribosomal RNA
Rfam family: Bacterial small subunit ribosomal RNA
Source: RNAcentral
CAGCAGCCGCGGUAAUACAGAGGGUGCGAGCGUCAAUCGGAUUUACUGGGCGUAAAGCGUGCGUAGGCGGCUUCUUAAGUCGGAUGUGAAAUCCCUGAGCUUAACUUAGGAAUUGCAUUCGAUACUGGGAAGCUAGAGUAUGGGAGAGGAUGGUAGAAUUCCAGGUGUAGCAGUGAAAUGCGUAGAUAUGUGGAGGAACACCGAUGGCGAAGGCAGCCUCCUGGGCCAAUACUGACGCUCAUGCACGAAAGCGUGGGGAGCAAACAGGAUUAGAUACCCCCGUAGUCCCUGUCUCUUAUAC